This 164-nucleotide transfer-messenger RNA is filed under the name Parahaemophilus parainfluenzae. Its description in RNAcentral is "Haemophilus parainfluenzae (human gut metagenome) transfer-messenger RNA". It matches the Rfam family "transfer-messenger RNA". Rfam says of the family: Bacterial tmRNA, also known as 10Sa RNA or SsrA, is named for its dual tRNA and mRNA-like properties. Its role is to liberate the mRNA from a stalled ribosome. Lineage: Bacteria; Pseudomonadati; Pseudomonadota; Gammaproteobacteria; Pasteurellales; Pasteurellaceae. The record is from RNAcentral.
GGGGCUGAUUCUGGAUUCGACGGGAUUAGCGAAGCCCAAGGUGCACGUCGAGGUGCGGUAGGCCUCGUAACGCAUGCUUAAGUGAAAUUAAAGACGAGACUAAACGUGUAGUACUGAAGGUAGAGUAAUUUCGGACGCGGGUUCAACUCCCGCCAGCUCCACCA